RNAcentral lists this ribosomal RNA (372 nucleotides) under uncultured bacterium. RNAcentral describes it as "bacterial SSU rRNA". It matches the Rfam family "Bacterial small subunit ribosomal RNA", at positions 525 to 896 of the family's 1533-position model. The record is from RNAcentral.
ACGUAGGUCCCGAGCGUUGUCCGGAUUUAUUGGGCGUAAAGCGAGCGCAGGUGGUUUAAUAAGUCUGAUGUAAAAGGCAGUGGCUCAACCAUUGUGUGCAUUGGAAACUGUUAGACUUGAGUGCAGUAGAGGAGAGUGGAAUUCCAUGUGUAGCGGUGAAAUGCGUAGAUAUAUGGAGGAACACCGGUGGCGAAAGCGGCUCUCUGGACUGUCACUGACACUGAGGCUCGAAAGCGUGGGUAGCAAACAGGAUUAGAUACCCUGGUAGUCCACGCCGUAAACGAUGAGUGCUAGUUGUUUGGGGCUAUCCAGCCCUAAGUGACGCAGCAAACGCAUUAAGCACUCCGCCUGGGGAGUACGACCGCAAGGUUG